RNAcentral lists this ribosomal RNA (488 nucleotides) under Hoylesella oralis. RNAcentral describes it as "bacterial SSU rRNA". It matches the Rfam family "Bacterial small subunit ribosomal RNA", at positions 28 to 501 of the family's 1533-position model. Lineage: Bacteria; Pseudomonadati; Bacteroidota; Bacteroidia; Bacteroidales; Prevotellaceae. The record is from RNAcentral.
GAUGAACGCUAGCUACAGGCUUAACACAUGCAAGUCGCGGGGCAUCAUGGAGGUUGCUUGCAAUUUCUGAUGGCGACCGGCGCACGGGUGAGUAACGCGUAUCCAACCUUCCCAUUACUACGGCAUACCCCGUUGAAAGGCGGCCUAAUUCCGUAUGCAGUCCGAAGCAGUCAUCUAAUUUGGACGAAAGGUAUAUUCUAUCGGUAAUGGAUGGGGAUGCGUCCGAUUAGCCAGCCGGCGGGGUAACGGCCCACCGGGGCAUUGAUCGGUAGGGGUUCUGAGAGGAAGGUCCCCCACACUGGAACUGAGACACGGUCCAGACUCCUACGGGAGGCAGCAGUGAGGAAUAUUGGUCAAUGGGCGUAAGCCUGAACCAGCCAAGUAGCGUGCAGGAUGACGGCCCUAUGGGUUGUAAACUGCUUUUAUGCGGGGAUAAAGUUGGGGACGUGUCCCUUUUUGCAGGUACCGCAUGAAUAAGGACCGCUAAU